UACAGAGGUGGCAAGCGUUGUUCGGAAUUACUGGGCGUAAAGGGCGCGUAGGCGGCCUACUAAGUCAGACGUGAAAUCCCCCGGCUUAACCGGGGAACUGCGUCUGAUACUGGAUGGCUUGAGGUUGGGAGAGGGAUGCGGAAUUCCAGGUGUAGCGGUGAAAUGCGUAGAUAUCUGGAGGAACACCGGUGGCGAGGGCGGCAUCCUGGACCAAUUCUGACACUGAGGAGCGAAAGCCAGGGGAGCAAACGGG
RNAcentral lists this ribosomal RNA (253 nucleotides) under uncultured bacterium. RNAcentral describes it as "partial 16S ribosomal RNA". It matches the Rfam family "Bacterial small subunit ribosomal RNA", at positions 524 to 776 of the family's 1533-position model. The record is from RNAcentral.